UACAGAGGGUGCGAGCGUUAAUCGGAAUUACUGGGCGUAAAGCGCGCGUAGGCGGCUUUGCAAGUCGGGUGUGAAAUCCCCAGGCUUAACCUGGGAACUGCAUUCGAGACUGCAUUGCUAGAGUACGGUAGAGGGGGAUGGAAUUCCGCGUGUAGCAGUGAAAUGCGUAGAUAUGCGGAGGAACACCGAUGGCGAAGGCAAUCCCCUGGACCUGUACUGACGCUCAUGCACGAAAGCGUGGGGAGCAAACAGG
This 253-nucleotide ribosomal RNA is filed under the name uncultured bacterium. RNAcentral's name for it is "partial 16S ribosomal RNA". It matches the Rfam family "Bacterial small subunit ribosomal RNA", at positions 524 to 776 of the family's 1533-position model. The record is from RNAcentral.